Molecule: long non-coding RNA, 992 nt
Organism: Zingiber officinale
Lineage: Eukaryota; Viridiplantae; Streptophyta; Magnoliopsida; Zingiberales; Zingiberaceae
Exons: 4
Source: RefSeq, a predicted model, not a curated record
GCAACCUGGACGAGCAGAUCACGCAGCUCAUGCAGUGCAAGCCGCUCGCCGAACAGGAGGAUACAUCUCGCCCUUUCCCUCGCUUAUUUUCAUCCGAUCGCUCCUUCAAUUUAUUCCUUCUCUGGUCAGGAUGUUUGUUUUGGGGGUUUUCUGCUCGAUUCAUGUGUAUUCUUUAUAGAUCUGAGGUUGAGUGGGUAUUUAGCAAUUUACAGAUCUGCGAUGCGUAUUCAUGCAUACCUCUCUUCCUUCCUUGCAAAAUUUCCAUUUUUUUUAACGUUCUUCCAUGAUCUUAUCACUGCCUGUGGAUGCGAGGGGCAGGCCCCGAUCGAGCCCAACAAGCAUAUUUCCUCCAUGGUAGAGGAGGCAGCGAGGUUAGCUAGGCAUUUCUGCGAGAUGGAGUGGCCUGUGCUCGUCUUCCUCGAUUCCCACCACCCAAACAAGCCUGAGCCUCCUUAUCCGCCUCACUACGUUGUGGGAUCAGGGGAGGAGGAUCUGGUUCCAGUUUUGCAGUUUUAUGGUUGUAUAGCAGAUGAGUUGAGCUAGAGCAUUUAAAGAGGAGGAUUCCGUUGUCAUGUAUAAAGUUGGUGAGCUUAACAUGCCUGUUGGGUUUCUAUUCUUUCACAAAGCUUUCAUAUUGAGCCGCAGGAGGCAAGCAGGAAGAAAUCAAACGCCCUGUUGAUGGACCAGCCGCAGGAGGCAAGCUUCCAGAUGACAUUGUGAUUGGGUUUCUAGUUACAUGCAUUAACUGUUUGUUCUAUUAACAAGGAAUAGAGGUUAGGGUGCUUUGCGAAAAAGCUAAGGAGGUUUUAAUGGAAGAAAGCAAUGUUCAGGCCAACUGUUCAAUCUGUUCAAAGCUCACAAAGAUCCUAGACAAAAUCCAAUUGCUUAUUCCUGUAAUAGAUUGAGAAAGACAAGCUACUUCUUCAGUAUUGUGGUAGUAAUUACUGUACUGUUUUGUUCCGUUCUCAAGCCGAAAAUAAUUUUUGAGUGUA